AUUGAACGCUGGCGGCAGGCCUAACACAUGCAAGUCGAACGAGUGGCGGACGGGUGAGUAAUGUCUGGGAAACUGCCUGAUGGAGGGGGAUAACUACUGGAAACGGUAGCUAAUACCGCAUACCAUCGGAUGUGCCCAGAUGGGAUUAGCUAGUAGGUGGGGUAACGGCUCACCUAGGCGACGAUCCCUUGCUGGUCUGAGAGGAUGACCAGCCACAAUGGAAGUGAGACACGGUCCAGACUCCAACGAGAGGCAGCAGUGGGGAAUAUUGAACAAUGGGCGCAAGCCGGAUGCAGCCAUGCCGCGUGUAUGAAGAAGGCCUUCGGGUUGUAAAGGACUUUCAGCGAGGAGGCGUUACCCGCAGAAGAAGCUCCGGCUAACUCCGUGCCAGCAGCCGCGGUAAUUC
RNAcentral lists this ribosomal RNA (406 nucleotides) under uncultured bacterium. Its description in RNAcentral is "partial 16S ribosomal RNA". It matches the Rfam family "Bacterial small subunit ribosomal RNA", at positions 30 to 526 of the family's 1533-position model. The record is from RNAcentral.